This 58-nucleotide transfer RNA is filed under the name Crangonyx forbesi. RNAcentral describes it as "tRNA-Val". The record is from RNAcentral. Lineage: Eukaryota; Metazoa; Arthropoda; Malacostraca; Amphipoda; Crangonyctidae.
AAAAUUAUAGCUAUUAGCAGAUCGGUUACGUCGAUUAGAUCCUUUUUAGGUGUUUUUA